This 436-nucleotide ribosomal RNA is filed under the name uncultured bacterium. RNAcentral's name for it is "bacterial SSU rRNA". It matches the Rfam family "Bacterial small subunit ribosomal RNA", at positions 77 to 507 of the family's 1533-position model. The record is from RNAcentral.
AGCUUGCUAGAAGAUGACGAGCGGCGGACGGGUGAGUAACGCGUAGAAAUCUACCUAGUAGUGGGGGAUAGCCCAGAGAAAUUUGGAUUAAUACCGCAUACGCCCUACGGGGGAAANCGGGGGAUCUUCGGACCUCGUGCUAUUAGAUGAGUCUGCGUCGGAUUAGCUUGUUGGUGAGGUAAUGGCUCACCAAGGCGACGAUCCGUAGCUGGUCUGAGAGGAUGACCAGCCACACUGGAACUGAGACACGGUCCAGACUCCUACGGGAGGCAGCAGUGGGGAAUAUUGCACAAUGGGCGCAAGCCUGAUGCAGCCAUGCCGCGUGUGUGAAGAAGGCCUUAGGGUUGUAAAGCACUUUCAGCAGUGAGGAAAGGGGUGUCGUUAAUAGCGCCAUCCUGUGACGUUAACUGCAGAAGAAGGACCGGCUAACUCCGUG